GGGUUGUGAGGUUAAGCGACUAAGCGUACACGGUGGAUGCCCUGGCAGUCAGAGGCGAUGAAGGACGUGCUAAUCUGCGAUAAGCGUCGGUGAGGUGAUAUGAACCGUUAUAACCGGCGAUUUCCGAAUGGGGAAACCCAGUGUGUUUCGACACACUAUCAUUAACUGAAUCCAUAGGUUAAUGAGGCGAACCGGGGGAACUGAAACAUCUAAGUACCCCGAGGAAAAGAAAUCAACCGAGAUUCCCCCAGUAGCGGCGAGCGAACGGGGAGGAGCCCAGAGCCUGAAUCAGUGUGUGUGUUAGUGGAAGCGUCUGGAAAGGCGUGCGAUACAGGGUGACAGCCCCGUACACAAAAAUGCACAUAUUGUGAGCUCGAUGAGUAGGGCGGGACACGUGGUAUCCUGUCUGAAUAUGGGGGGACCAUCCUCCAAGGCUAAAUACUCCUGACUGACCGAUAGUGAACCAGUACCGUGAGGGAAAGGCGAAAAGAACCCCGGCGAGGGGAGUGAAAAAGAACCUGAAACCGUGUACGUACAAGCAGUGGGAGCCUCUUUAUGGGGUGACUGCGUACCUUUUGUAUAAUGGGUCAGCGACUUAUAUUCUGUAGCAAGGUUAACCGAAUAGGGGAGCCGAAGGGAAACCGAGUCUUAACUGGGCGUUAAGUUGCAGGGUAUAGACCCGAAACCCGGUGAUCUAGCCAUGGGCAGGUUGAAGGUUGGGUAACACUAACUGGAGGACCGAACCGACUAAUGUUGAAAAAUUAGCGGAUGACUUGUGGCUGGGGGUGAAAGGCCAAUCAAACCGGGAGAUAGCUGGUUCUCCCCGAAAGCUAUUUAGGUAGCGCCUCGUGAAUUCAUCUCCGGGGGUAGAGCACUGUUUCGGCAAGGGGGUCAUCCCGACUUACCAACCCGAUGCAAACUGCGAAUACCGGAGAAUGUUAUCACGGGAGACACACGGCGGGUGCUAACGUCCGUCGUGAAGAGGGAAACAACCCAGACCGCCAGCUAAGGUCCCAAAGUCAUGGUUAAGUGGGAAACGAUGUGGGAAGGCCCAGACAGCCAGGAUGUUGGCUUAGAAGCAGCCAUCAUUUAAAGAAAGCGUAAUAGCUCACUGGUCGAGUCGGCCUGCGCGGAAGAUGUAACGGGGCUAAACCAUGCACCGAAGCUGCGGCAGCGACACUAUGUGUUGUUGGGUAGGGGAGCGUUCUGUAAGCCUGUGAAGGUGGCCUGUGAGGGUUGCUGGAGGUAUCAGAAGUGCGAAUGCUGACAUAAGUAACGAUAAAGCGGGUGAAAAGCCCGCUCGCCGGAAGACCAAGGGUUCCUGUCCAACGUUAAUCGGGGCAGGGUGAGUCGACCCCUAAGGCGAGGCCGAAAGGCGUAGUCGAUGGGAAACAGGUUAAUAUUCCUGUACUUGGUGUUACUGCGAAGGGGGGACGGAGAAGGCUAUGUUGGCCGGGCGACGGUUGUCCCGGUUUAAGCGUGUAGGCUGGUUUUCCAGGCAAAUCCGGAAAACCAAGGCUGAGGCGUGAUGACGAGGCACUACGGUGCUGAAGCGACAAAUGCCCUGCUUCCAGGAAAAGCCUCUAAGCAUCAGGUAACAUCAAAUCGUACCCCAAACCGACACAGGUGGUCAGGUAGAGAAUACCAAGGCGCUUGAGAGAACUCGGGUGAAGGAACUAGGCAAAAUGGUGCCGUAACUUCGGGAGAAGGCACGCUGAUAUGUAGGUGAAGCGACUUGCUCGUGGAGCUGAAAUCAGUCGAAGAUACCAGCUGGCUGCAACUGUUUAUUAAAAACACAGCACUGUGCAAACACGAAAGUGGACGUAUACGGUGUGACGCCUGCCCGGUGCCGGAAGGUUAAUUGAUGGGGUUAGCGGUAACGCGAAGCUCUUGAUCGAAGCCCCGGUAAACGGCGGCCGUAACUAUAACGGUCCUAAGGUAGCGAAAUUCCUUGUCGGGUAAGUUCCGACCUGCACGAAUGGCGUAAUGAUGGCCAGGCUGUCUCCACCCGAGACUCAGUGAAAUUGAACUCGCUGUGAAGAUGCAGUGUACCCGCGGCAAGACGGAAAGACCCCGUGAACCUUUACUAUAGCUUGACACUGAACAUUGAGCCUUGAUGUGUAGGAUAGGUGGGAGGCUUUGAAGUGUGGACGCCAGUCUGCAUGGAGCCGACCUUGAAAUACCACCCUUUAAUGUUUGAUGUUCUAACGUUGGCCCGUAAUCCGGGUUGCGGACAGUGUCUGGUGGGUAGUUUGACUGGGGCGGUCUCCUCCUAAAGAGUAACGGAGGAGCACGAAGGUUGGCUAAUCCUGGUCGGACAUCAGGAGGUUAGUGCAAUGGCAUAAGCCAGCUUGACUGCGAGCGUGACGGCGCGAGCAGGUGCGAAAGCAGGUCAUAGUGAUCCGGUGGUUCUGAAUGGAAGGGCCAUCGCUCAACGGAUAAAAGGUACUCCGGGGAUAACAGGCUGAUACCGCCCAAGAGUUCAUAUCGACGGCGGUGUUUGGCACCUCGAUGUCGGCUCAUCACAUCCUGGGGCUGAAGUAGGUCCCAAGGGUAUGGCUGUUCGCCAUUUAAAGUGGUACGCGAGCUGGGUUUAGAACGUCGUGAGACAGUUCGGUCCCUAUCUGCCGUGGGCGCUGGAGAACUGAGGGGGGCUGCUCCUAGUACGAGAGGACCGGAGUGGACGCAUCACUGGUGUUCGGGUUGUCAUGCCAAUGGCACUGCCCGGUAGCUAAAUGCGGAAGAGAUAAGUGCUGAAAGCAUCUAAGCACGAAACUUGCCCCGAGAUGAGUUCUCCCUGAGACUUAGAGUCUCCUGAAGGAACGUUGAAGACGACGACGUUGAUAGGCCGGGUGUGUAAGCGCAGCGAUGCGUUGAGCUAACCGGUACUAAUGAACCGUGAGGCUUAACCUUACAACGCCGAAG
Molecule: ribosomal RNA, 2925 nt
Filed under: Escherichia coli
Lineage: Bacteria; Pseudomonadati; Pseudomonadota; Gammaproteobacteria; Enterobacterales; Enterobacteriaceae
Description: bacterial LSU rRNA
Rfam family: Bacterial large subunit ribosomal RNA
Source: RNAcentral